Molecule: transfer RNA, 59 nt
Filed under: Crunomys whiteheadi (Whitehead's spiny rat)
Lineage: Eukaryota; Metazoa; Chordata; Mammalia; Rodentia; Muridae
Description: Maxomys whiteheadi (Whitehead's spiny rat) tRNA-Ser
Source: RNAcentral
AAGAAAGUAUGCAAGAACUGCUAACUCAUGCCCCCAUGUCUAAUCACAUGGCUUUCUUA